This 253-nucleotide ribosomal RNA is filed under the name uncultured bacterium. RNAcentral's name for it is "partial 16S ribosomal RNA". It matches the Rfam family "Bacterial small subunit ribosomal RNA", at positions 524 to 776 of the family's 1533-position model. The record is from RNAcentral.
UACGUAGGGGGCAAGCGUUGUCCGGAAUCAUUGGGCGUAAAGAGCGCGUAGGCGGCCCGAUAAGUCCGCUGUGAAAGUCAAGGGCUUAACCCUUGAAUGCCGGUGGAAACUGUCGGGCUAGAGUCCGGAAGAGGCGAGUGGAAUUCCUGGUGUAGCGGUGAAAUGCGCAGAUAUCAGGAGGAACACCGGUGGCGAAGGCGGAUCUCUGGGCCUUACCUGACGCUCAGGUGCGAAAGCUAGGGGAGCGAACAGG